UCCACCAGUGGACUCUGCGUUUAGGAGC
Molecule: small RNA, 28 nt
Filed under: Bombyx mori (domestic silkworm)
Lineage: Eukaryota; Metazoa; Arthropoda; Insecta; Lepidoptera; Bombycidae
Description: ovarian small RNA-26649
Source: RNAcentral